CAUUAUUUUUCUCUACCACUACGCAUGUUCUAACAAUUCAUAAACUUUGUCUCAUCGGCUCCAAUCUGUGAUUAUUUCAAUUCUUUCCCCAACAGAGAAUGGUACCUGUAUAUUGAUGAUAUUGAUAUUUUCUACGCAAAGUUGGAUAGUGAUUGUAAUUGUAAUUGUGACGGUGGAGGUGGUGGGUUGAAGGUGAUUGAUUGGAAAUUCCCGGUUUCAAGCUUCAACUUUCAACGUUUAACAAGUCUCACCUGCCGUGCUGUGUGUGUGAAACCACCCUACGAUCCGACAUACGCCAAAUCUUCCUGAUGGUAAACUGCAUUCUUGAUUGAUCGAUUGUUUGUUCGUUUGUGUACUUAUCAGUGCCAAACGCCCAAACUUAGUGCUUGAUUGAUGUAGCUUCUUCGGCUAGGAAGAACCCAUAGGCACUUUCACGUCCGGUGAUGGAAGGAACCUUCUUGCUUUCUUGUUACGUUGGGGAAUCAUUGCAUCUGUUUGAGGAAUAAAACUACUAGGCAAUGCAAAAGAUGGUAAAUUGAAGUCUCUUCUUUAUUUCUUUAUUUGUGUUUUUUUUUUUUUUUUUUUCUUUUUUGAAUUAUUUAGUUGAUAGUUGUUUAUAUUUAGUUGUCAGAUUGUUACUUGUUUAAUUUGAAUAUGGAGUUUAUAUGUAUAGCAUUACUGGAUCUUUCAUUUUCUAUUUCUAUUUCUAUUUG
This 713-nucleotide long non-coding RNA is filed under the name Helianthus annuus (common sunflower). RNAcentral describes it as "hypothetical non coding rna". Lineage: Eukaryota; Viridiplantae; Streptophyta; Magnoliopsida; Asterales; Asteraceae. The record is from RNAcentral.